RNAcentral lists this ribosomal RNA (449 nucleotides) under uncultured bacterium. RNAcentral describes it as "bacterial SSU rRNA". It matches the Rfam family "Bacterial small subunit ribosomal RNA", at positions 328 to 794 of the family's 1533-position model. The record is from RNAcentral.
CGCCCAGACUCCUACGGGAGGCAGCAGUGGGGAAUAUUGCACAAUGGGGGAAACCCUGACGCAGCGACGCCGCGUGAGCGAUGAAGUAUUUCGGUAUGUAAAGCUCUAUCAGCAGGGAAGAAAAUGACGGUACCUGACUAAGAAGCCCCGACUAACUACGUGCCAGCAGCCGCGGUAAUACGUAGGGGGCAAGCGUUAUCCGGAUUUACUGGGUGUAAAGGGAGCGUAGACGGCUGUGCAAGCCAGAUGUGAAAGCCCGGGGCUCAACCCCGGGACUGCAUUUGGAACUGUGUGGCUGGAGUGUCGGAGAGGCAGGCGGAAUUCCUAGUGUAGCGGUGAAAUGCGUAGAUAUUAGGAGGAACACCAGUGGCGAAGGCGGCCUGCUGGACGAUGACUGACGUUGAGGCUCGAAAGCGUGGGGAGCAAACAGGAUUAGAUACCCCCGUACC